RNAcentral lists this ribosomal RNA (497 nucleotides) under uncultured bacterium. RNAcentral describes it as "partial 16S ribosomal RNA". It matches the Rfam family "Bacterial small subunit ribosomal RNA", at positions 28 to 507 of the family's 1533-position model. The record is from RNAcentral.
GACGAACGCUGGCGGCGUGCUUAACACAUGCAAGUCGAGCGGAAAGACGAGGAUCUUGCUCCACUCACGUUAGCGGCGGACGGGUGAGUCACAAGUAAAUAACCCACCUAUAUGAGUUGAAUAACGUAGAGAAAGGGGAACUAAUAACAGGAAAUAUAUUUAACCGGAUGGUGUUGUAGUGAUAGACGGGUUUGGUGUCGCUUAUAGGUGGAUCCGCGCCGCAUUGGCGAGUUGGUGAGGUAACGGCUUGCCGAGGAAACGGUGGGUAGCCGAGGUGAGAGGGUGAUGGCCCACAGUGGAACUGAGCCACGGUCCUGGGACCUAGGGGAGGCCGCGGUAGCGACGCGUGCGCAAUGGGCGGAAGCUUGACGGAGCGGUGCCACGUGGGUGAUGAAGGGCCUCGGGUCGGAAGACUGUGUUAUUGUGGAAGAACGAAUGUGCUCGUGACUAAGCUUGUUUUGACGGUACUGAGUAAAGAAGCACCGGCUAACUACGUG